GGAUGUAAUGGGUGUAGUGGAUGGAUGUUUGGUAAUGAGUGGAUGGGUGUAGUGGAUGAGUGUUUGGUAAUGAGUGGAUGUAAUGGGUGUAUUGGAUGGAUGCUUGGUAAUGAGUGGAUGGAAUGGGUGUAGUGGAUGAGUGUUUGUAGUUAUAGGUCAACACACUUGCACGCACACAUGCUGAUUUCUAGCCUUCUAAUCUUCAAAAACGUCCAUCCUCAUGUCUCCAUGCUUGCACUAUCCAAUCUUGGCCCAAAAAUGCUCCAAAGUGCUCCAAAUAGCACUUUGUUGCCAACUUUGUUAUUUGAACCUACAAACACACGAAAAUAGCUUAAAGUACUAAAAUAACUAGAAUUAAACUAAUUAAAUGCCAAGAAACAAGCUCACUAAGUUGCAUAAAUAUGCUCUUAUCAAAUUCCCUCACACUUAGCUUUAGCUAGUCCUCGAGCAAAACAAAAGAAACAGAACGAAACAAAACAAACAAAACAAACAAAACACAACCUAACCAUCCAACAUUUGCCUCAGGGAUUUCCAAUGCACAUGACAUGUUAAAAAUCAUCAUUCCCAAGAUUUUGGUUAUCUUCACACUUGAGCAUAAACUUAAUCACAGUCACUACUUACUAGUUCACAAUUAACCAAUUAAAACAAUGUUUUGAAUGUAGUAACAUGCCUUAGGGAAUUUGCUCAAUUCCUUACAAGAUACUUUCUAUUUCUCACACACAUUUUCUGACUACACACCCUACACUAGUAUAUGUGAGAAGAUUAAUGUAAACACAAAAGACUAGGACUCACAUAUGUUAUAACAAAGAAAGCAAUUUUCUGGAGUUAUUAAGCAUCUUUAGAUAUGAUCUCAUGAAUGGAAUGCUACUACUUAGAUGCGAGAACCAGUGACACCAUAUGCUCAUACC
RNAcentral lists this long non-coding RNA (908 nucleotides) under Malus domestica (apple). Its description in RNAcentral is "long non-coding RNA (MDOM_LNC007532)". Lineage: Eukaryota; Viridiplantae; Streptophyta; Magnoliopsida; Rosales; Rosaceae. The record is from RNAcentral.